AACGAACGCUGGCGGCAUGCCUAACACAUGCAAGUCGAACGAGACCUUCGGGUCUAGUGGCGCACGGGUGCGUAACGCGUGGGAACCUGCCCUUAGGUUCGGAAUAACUCCCCGAAAGGGGUGCUAAUACCGGAUAAUGUCUUCGGACCAAAGAUUUAUCGCCUUUGGAUGGGCCCGCGUUGGAUUAGCUAGUUGGUAGGGUAAAAGCCUACCAAGGCGACGAUCCAUAGCUGGUCUGAGAGGAUGAUCAGCCACACUGGGACUGAGACACGGCCCAGACUCCUACGGGAGGCAGCAGUGGGGAAUAUUGGACAAUGGGCGAAAGCAUGAUCCAGCAAUGCCGCGUGAGUGAUGAAGGCCUUAGGGUUGUAAAGCUCUUUUACCCGGGAUGAUAAUGACAGUACCGGGAGAAUAAGCUCCGGCUAACUCCGUGC
Molecule: ribosomal RNA, 434 nt
Filed under: uncultured bacterium
Lineage: Bacteria
Description: partial 16S ribosomal RNA
Rfam family: Bacterial small subunit ribosomal RNA
Source: RNAcentral